RNAcentral lists this ribosomal RNA (633 nucleotides) under Ilione lineata. RNAcentral's name for it is "partial 12S ribosomal RNA". Lineage: Eukaryota; Metazoa; Arthropoda; Insecta; Diptera; Sciomyzidae. The record is from RNAcentral.
UGAGUAGUAUUAGUUAUGUUCUUGAAACUUAAAAAAUUUGGCGGUAUUUUAGUCUAUUCAGAGGAACCUGUUCUGUAAUCGAUAAUCCACGAUGGACCUUUCUUACCUUUGUAUUUCAGUUUAUAUACCGUCGUUAUCAGAGAAUUUUAAAAGAAAAAUAAUUCUCAAUCUUUUUAAUUAAAAGAUAUAUCAGAUCAAGGUGUAGCUUAUAGAUAAGUAGAAAUGGGUUACAAUAAAUUUAUUUAUAUGGAUGUAAAUAUGAAAAAUUUACUGAAAGUGGAUUUGACAGUAAACCUGAAAAGAUAGUCAGUUUGAUUUUAGCUCUAAAAUAUGCACACAUCGCCCGUCGCUCUUAUUACUAAGAUAAGAUAAGUCGUAACAUAGUAGAUGUACCGGAAGGUGCAUCUAGAAUGACAGUUUAAAGCUUAUCUAGUAAAGUGUUUCAUUUACAUUGAAACGAUUAUGUGCAAAUCAUUAUAGACUGAUUAGAUUUUUCUUAUUUAUUUAUUGAGGUUUGCAUAUUUAUUGUAUUAAAAAUAAUUUUAUAAGAUAAUUUUUAGUAUUGUUUAAAGAAAAAAUAAUACAAAUGAUAGUUUAUUAGUAUUGUAGAAGAAUGUUGAAAUACGUGAAAAA